ACCUGGUUGAUCCUGCCAGUAGUCAUAUGCUUGUCUCAAAGAUUAAGCCAUGCAUGUCUAAGUAUAAGCAAUUAUACCGCGAAACUGCGAAUGGCUCAUUAAAUCAGUUAUCGUUUAUUUGAUAGUACCUUACUACAUGGAUAACCGUGGUAAUUCUAGAGCUAAUACAUGCUAAAAAUCCCGACUUCGGAAGGGAUGUAUUUAUUAGAUUAAAAACCAAUGCCCUUCGGGGCUCUCUGGUGAUUCAUAAUAACUUCUCGAAUCGCACGGCCUUGCGCCGGCGAUGGUUCAUUCAAAUUUCUGCCCUAUCAACUUUCGACGGCUGGGUCUUGGCCAGCCGUGGUGACAACGGGUAACGGAGGGUUAGGGCUCGACCCCGGAGAAGGAGCCUGAGAAACGGCUACUACAUCCAAGGAAGGCAGCAGGCGCGCAAAUUACCCAAUCCCGACACGGGGAGGUAGUGACAAUAAAUACUGAUACAGGGCUCUUUCGGGUCUUGUAAUUGGAAUGAGUACAAUUUAAAUCCCUUAACGAGGAACAAUUGGAGGGCAAGUCUGGUGCCAGCAGCCGCGGUAAUUCCAGCUCCAAUAGCGUAUAUUAAAGUUGUUGAGGUUAAAAAGCUCGUAGUUGAACCUUGGGCCUAGCCGGCCGGUCCGCCUCACCGCGUGCACUGGCUCGGCUGGGUCUUUCCUUCUGGAGAACCUCAUGCCCUUCACUGGGUGUGACGGGGAACCAGGACUUUUACUCUGAACAAAUUAGAUCGCUUAAAGAAGGCCUAUGCUCGAAUACAUUAGCAUGGAAUAAUAGAAUAGGACGUGUGGUUCUAUUUUGUUGGUUUCUAGGACCGCCGUAAUGAUUAAUAGGGACAGUCGGGGGCAUCAGUAUUCAAUUGUCAGAGGUGAAAUUCUUGGAUUUAUUGAAGACUAACUACUGCGAAAGCAUUUGCCAAGGAUGUUUUCAUUAAUCAGGAACGAAAGUUAGGGGAUCGAAGACGAUCAGAUACCGUCGUAGUCUUAACCAUAAACUAUGCCGAUUAGGGAUCGGACGGCGUUAUUUUUUGACCCGUUCGGCACCUUACGAUAAAUCAAAAUGUUUGGGCUCCUGGGGGAGUAUGGUCGCAAGGCUGAAACCUAAAGAAAUUGACGGAAGGGCACCACCAGGGGUGGAGCCUGCGGCUUAAUUUGACUCAACACGGGGAAACUCACCAGGUCCAGACACGAUGAGGAUUGACAGAUUGAGAGCUCUUUCUUGAUUUCGUGGGUGGUGGUGCAUGGCCGUUCUUAGUUGGUGGAGUGAUUUGUCUGCUUAAUUGCGAUAACGAACGAGACCUUAACCUGCUAAAUAGCCCGUAUUGCUUUGGCAGUACGCUGGCUUCUUAGAGGGACUAUCGGCUCAAGCCGAUGGAAGUUUGAGGCAAUAACAGGUCUGUGAUGCCCUUAGAUGUUCUGGGCCGCACGCGCGCUACACUGACAGAGCCAGCGAGUACUCCCUUGGCCGGAAGGCCCGGGUAAUCUUGUUAAACUCUGUCGUGCUGGGGAUAGAGCAUUGCGAUUAUUGCUCUUCAACGAGGAAUCCCUAGUAAGCGCAAGUCAUCAGCUUGCGUUGAUUACGUCCCUGCCCUUUGUACACACCGCCCGUCGCUACUACCGAUUGAAUGGCUCAGUGAGGCUUCCGGACUGGCCCAGAGAGGUCGGCAACGACCACUCAGGGCCGGAAAGCUAUCCAAACUCGGUCAUUUAGAGGAAGUAAAAGUCGUAACAAGGUCUCCGUUGGUGAACCUGCRGAAGGAUCA
RNAcentral lists this ribosomal RNA (1792 nucleotides) under uncultured fungus. RNAcentral describes it as "SSU rRNA". It matches the Rfam family "Eukaryotic small subunit ribosomal RNA". The record is from RNAcentral. Lineage: Eukaryota; Fungi.